Hylaeus volcanicus is the source of this 956-nucleotide long non-coding RNA. RefSeq lists it as uncharacterized. The record is from RefSeq and is a predicted model, not a curated record. NCBI's taxonomy places the organism in Eukaryota, Metazoa, Arthropoda, Insecta, Hymenoptera, Colletidae. The transcript has 3 exons.
AUACACCUGGGGACAGUUAUACGAAUUUCUUUCUAAACAAAUUCAAUGUUUUCAAGCAAGGUAAUGGAACUAAGAUUUGUGUAUAUCGAACGAAUUAUAUCUACAAAAUUAUUUUAUUCACCAACAUUAAUCAAAGAAUAACGAAAGGACGGUAUAUCGUUGGCAUGCGAUUGCAGAAUUUUGAUUGCAACGUAAAAGCAAUGUAUGAAACACUAUUGUUCCAUAACCUGUAUCGAUGAACGUUUUGUAAGCUCCAUACAAAAUAUUUGAAUUGCACAACGUAUCCGGCCAGGGAAAUCUAUUUACGUCGUAAACGGAAAUAUUUUUUUUUCGAAGAUUAUAUUUUUCGAAACAUCAAAAAUGUUGAUCUUCCCUCGCUCGACCUCUGUAAAUUAACUAAGGUAUGAUUAUAUAAGAGUAAUUCUUCAGGAGGUCAUUCGAAAGUCGACGUACUAAUACAUGGCGUACUUUGUUUUUCGAAAGAGAAAUUCUUUAUCACGAUAUUUCUGUUGGAAAAAAGUAUUUCCUUUGAUAUAUUCUCUUAUCGCAACAGAGAUAUUUUAGGUUCCAGCCUUAGAUGAUUCAUCCUGUAUACUGUAUACAACUAUACAGUGGCACGAUGUUCCAAGAAUCGACAAUGCUGUCUCGUCAAACGGACUCGAUGCAGAAAAGGAAUACGAAUAAAGGAAUCGGACGAGUACAAAAUUUUCACCGGAUGGACGUACGAGUGGACGUCGCCGAAUCGGCUACGGAAAAAUAAUCUCAAUGUUCGCGAGGUUGUACGCGGUCCAUUCUCCACGGCAAAAUUAUUAAAAACGCGUCCGUUUUUAACGAUUUCGUCUCGGUACGAGCAAAACGAUCGCGAUUGCUUGCGACGAGGCAUUCCCGACACUUGGAGGGAAUACUUAGCCUCGAGAGGAUGCUGUGGUGCAACGGAGGUACGUGUCCUGCAAAAA